UGGGGAAUAUUGCACAAUGGGGGAAACCCUGAUGCAGCGACGCCGCGUGAACAAAGAAGGUAUUCGUAUCGUAAAGUUCUGUCCUAUGGGAAGAUAAUGACAGUACCAUAGAAGAAAGCUCCGGCUAAAUACGUGCCAGCAGCCGCGGUAAUACGUAUGGAGCGAGCGUUGUCCGGAAUUAUUGGGCGUAAAGGGUACGCAGGCGGUUUAAUAAGUCGAAUGUUAAAGAUCGGGGCUCAACCCCGUAAAGCAUUGGAAACUGAUAAACUUGAGUGGAGAGGAAAGUGGAAUUCCUAGUGUAGUGGUGAAAUACGUAGAUAUUAGGAGGAAUACCAGUAGCGAAGGCGACUUUCUGGACACAAACUGACGCUGAGGUACGAAAGCGUGGGGAGCAAACAGG
RNAcentral lists this ribosomal RNA (400 nucleotides) under bacterium. RNAcentral describes it as "partial 16S ribosomal RNA". It matches the Rfam family "Bacterial small subunit ribosomal RNA", at positions 355 to 776 of the family's 1533-position model. The record is from RNAcentral.